Molecule: ribosomal RNA, 493 nt
Filed under: uncultured bacterium
Lineage: Bacteria
Description: bacterial SSU rRNA
Rfam family: Bacterial small subunit ribosomal RNA
Source: RNAcentral
AUUGAACGCUGGCGGCAGGCCUAACACAUGCAAGUCGAGCGGUUGAGGUAGCUUGCUACCGAUGCAGCGGCGAACGGGUGAGUAAUACAUGGGAAUCUGCCUGGUAGUGGGGGACAACGUCUCGAAAGGGACGCUAAUACCGCAUACGCCCUACGGGGGAAAGGGGGGGAUCUUCGGACCUCUCGCUAUCAGAUGAGCCCAUGUCAGAUUAGCUAGUUGGUGGGGUAAAGGCUCACCAAGGCGACGAUCUGUAACUGGUCUGAGAGGAUGAUCAGUCACACUGGAACUGAGACACGGUCCAGACUCCUACGGGAGGCAGCAGUGGGGAAUAUUGGGACAAUGGGCGCAAGCCUGAUCCAGCCAUGCCGCGUGUGUGAAGAAGGCCUUAGGGUGUAAAGCACUUUCAGUGGGAGAAGGUUAUUCACCUAAUACGUGAGUAAUUGAUGUUACCCACAGAAGAAGCACCGGCUAACUCCGUGCCAGCAGCCGACGG